CAGCUCCUGAAGCCCCAGCAGGCAUGUGU
Molecule: non-coding RNA, 29 nt
Filed under: Homo sapiens (human)
Lineage: Eukaryota; Metazoa; Chordata; Mammalia; Primates; Hominidae
Source: RNAcentral